AUACGGAGGGUGCAAGCGUUACUCGGAAUCACUGGGCGUAAAGCGCGCGCAGGCGGCUAUUUAAGUUGGAUGUGAAAGCCUACGGCUCAACCGUAGAACUGCAUCCAAAACUAUUUAGCUAGAGUGUGGGAGAGGAAGAUGGAAUUAGUUGUGUAGGGGUAAAAUCCGUAGAGAUAACUAGGAAUACCAAAAGCGAAGGCAAUCUUCUGGAACAGUACUGACGCUGAGGCGCGAAAGCGUGGGGAGCAAACAGGAUUAGAAACCCCAGUAGUCC
Molecule: ribosomal RNA, 274 nt
Filed under: uncultured bacterium
Lineage: Bacteria
Description: partial 16S ribosomal RNA
Rfam family: Bacterial small subunit ribosomal RNA
Source: RNAcentral